Molecule: ribosomal RNA, 1434 nt
Filed under: uncultured organism
Description: partial small subunit ribosomal RNA
Rfam family: Bacterial small subunit ribosomal RNA
Source: RNAcentral
UUCGGCGUGCUUAACACAUGCAAGUCGAACGGAAAGGCCCUGCUUUUGUGGGGUGCUCGAGUGGCGAACGGGUGAGUAACACGUGAGUAACCUGCCCUUGACUUUGGGAUAACUUCAGGAAACUGGGGCUAAUACCGGAUAGGAGCUCCUGCUGCAUGGUGGGGGUUGGAAAGUUUCGGCGGUUGGGGAUGGACUCGCGGCUUAUCAGCUUGUUGGUGGGGUAGUGGCUUACCAAGGCUUUGACGGGUAGCCGGCCUGAGAGGGUGACCGGCCACAUUGGGACUGAGAUACGGCCCAGACUCCUACGGGAGGCAGCAGUGGGGAAUAUUGCACAAUGGGCGGAAGCCUGAUGCAGCAACGCCGCGUGCGGGAUGACGGCCUUCGGGUUGUAAACCGCUUUCGCCUGUGACGAAGCGUGAGUGACAGUAAUGGGUAAAGAAGCACCGGCUAACUACGUGCCAGCAGCCGCGGUGAUACGUAGGGUGCGAGCGUUGUCCGGAUUUAUUGGGCGUAAAGGGCUCGUAGGUGGUUGAUCGCGUCGGAAGUGUAAUCUUGGGGCUUAACCCUGAGCGUGCUUUCGAUACGGGUUGACUUGAGGAAGGUAGGGGAGAAUGGAAUUCCUGGUGGAGCGGUGGAAUGCGCAGAUAUCAGGAGGAACACCAGUGGCGAAGGCGGUUCUCUGGGCCUUUCCUGACGCUGAGGAGCGAAAGCGUGGGGAGCGAACAGGCUUAGAUACCCUGGUAGUCCACGCUGUAAACGGUGGGUACUAGGUGUGGGGUCCAUUCCACGGGUUCCGUGCCGUAGCUAACGCUUUAAGUACCCCGCCUGGGGAGUACGGCCGCAAGGCUAAAACUCAAAGGAAUUGACGGGGCCCCGCACAAGCGGCGGAGCAUGCGGAUUAAUUCGAUGCAACGCGUAGAACCUUACCUGGGUUUGACAUGGAUCGGGAGUGCUCAGAGAUGGGUGUGCCUCUUUUGGGGUCGGUUCACAGGUGGUGCAUGGCUGUCGUCAGCUCGUGUCGUGAGAUGUUGGGUUAAGUCCCGCAACGAGCGCAACCCUUGUUCACUGUUGCCAGCACGUUAUGGUGGGGACUCAGUGGAGACCGCCGGGGUCAACUCGGAGGAAGGUGGGGAUGACGUCAAGUCAUCAUGCCCCUUAUGUCCAGGGCUUCACGCAUGCUACAAUGGCUGGUACAGAGAGUGGCGAGCCUGUGAGGGUGAGCGAAUCUCGGAAAGCCGGUCUCAGUUCGGAUUGGGGUCUGCAACUCGACCUCAUGAAGUCGGAGUCGCUAGUAAUCGCAGAUCAGCAACGCUGCGGUGAAUACGUUCCCGGGGCUUGUACACACCGCCCGUCAAGUCAUGAAAGUUGGUAACACCCGAAGCCGGUGGCCUAACCGUUGUGGGGGAGCCGUCGAAGGUGGGACUGGUGAUUAGG